RNAcentral lists this ribosomal RNA (465 nucleotides) under uncultured bacterium. RNAcentral describes it as "partial 16S ribosomal RNA". It matches the Rfam family "Bacterial small subunit ribosomal RNA", at positions 28 to 507 of the family's 1533-position model. The record is from RNAcentral.
GACGAACGCUGGCGGCGUGCUUAACACAUGCAAGUCGAACGGAAAGGCCCUGCUUGCAGGGUACUCGAGUGGCGAACGGGUGAGUAACACGUGGGUGAUCUGCCCUGCACUUCGGGAUAAGCCUGGGAAACUGGGUCUAAUACCGGAUAGGAGCCAUUUUUAGUGUGAUGGUUGGAAAGUUUUUUCGGUGUAGGAUGAGCUCGCGGCCUAUCAGCUUGUUGGUGGGGUAAUGGCCUACCAAGGCGGCGACGGGUAGCCGGCCUGAGAGGGUGGACGGCCACAUUGGGACUGAGAUACGGCCCAGACUCCUACGGGAGGCAGCAGUGGGGAAUAUUGCACAAUGGGCGCAAGCCUGAUGCAGCGACGCCGCGUGGGGGAUGACGGCCUUCGGGUUGUAAACUCCUUUCGCUAGGGACGAAGCUUUUUGUGACGGUACCUGGAUAAGAAGCACCGGCUAACUACGUG